This 372-nucleotide ribosomal RNA is filed under the name uncultured bacterium. Its description in RNAcentral is "bacterial SSU rRNA". It matches the Rfam family "Bacterial small subunit ribosomal RNA", at positions 794 to 1164 of the family's 1533-position model. The record is from RNAcentral.
UCCUAGCUGUAAACGAUGGUCACUAGGUGUUGGGGGUAUCGACCCCCCCAGUGCCGCAGCUAACGCAUUAAGUGACCCGCCUGGGGAGUACGGCCGCAAGGCUGAAACUCAAAGGAAUUGACGGGGCCCCGCACAAGCGGUGGAGCAUGUGGCUCAAUUCGAGGCUACGCGAAGAACCUUACCAGGGCUUGACAUCUGCGGAACCCUGCCGAAAGGCGGGGGUGCCCUUCGGGGAACCGCAAGACAGGUGGUGCAUGGCUGUCGUCAGCUCGUGUCGUGAGAUGUUGGGUUAAGUUCCGCAACGAGCGCAACCCUCGUCCUAUGUUGCCACCAGUUCGGCUGGGCACUCAUGGGAGACUGCCGGAGCAAUCC